ACGAACGCUGGCGGCGUGCUUAACACCUGCAAGUCGCACGGAAAGGCCCUGCUUUUGUGGGGUGCUCGAGUGGCGAACGGGUGAGUAACACGUGAGUAACCUGCCCUUGACUUUGGGAUAACUUCAGGAAACUGGGGCUAAUACCGGAUAGGAGCUCCUGCUGCAUGGUGGGGGUUGGAAAGUUCGGCGGUUGGGGAUGGACUCGCGGCUUAUCAGCUUGUUGGUGGGGUAGUGGCUUACCAAGGCUUUGACGGGUAGCCGGCCUGAGAGGGUGACCGGCCACAUUGGGACUGAGAUACGGCCCAGACUCCUACGGGAGGCAGCAGUGGGGAAUAUUGCACAAUGGGCGGAAGCCUGAUGCAGCAACGCCGCGUGCGGGAUGACGGCCUUCGGGUUGUAAACCGCUUUCGCCUGUGACGAAGCGUGAGUGACGGUAAUGGGUAAAGAAGCACCGGCUAACUACGUG
Molecule: ribosomal RNA, 466 nt
Filed under: uncultured bacterium
Lineage: Bacteria
Description: partial 16S ribosomal RNA
Rfam family: Bacterial small subunit ribosomal RNA
Source: RNAcentral